AACGAACGCUGGCGGCAUGCCUAACACAUGCAAGUCGAACGAGACCUUCGGGUCUAGUGGCGCACGGGUGCGUAACGCGUGGGAACCUGCCCUUAGGUUCGGAAUAACUCCCCGAAAGGGGUGCUAAUACCGGAUAAUGUCUUCGGACCAAAGAUUUAUCGCCUUUGGAUGGGCCCGCGUUGGAUUAGCUAGUUGGUAGGGUAAAAGCCUAUCAAGGCGACGAUCCAUAGCUGGUCUGAGAGGAUGAUCAGCCACACUGGGACUGAGACACGGCCCAGACUCCUACGGGAAGCAGCAGUGGGGAAUAUUGGACAAUGGGCGAAAGCCUGAUCCAGCAAUGCCGCGUGAGUGAUGAAGGCCUUAGGGUUGUAAAGCUCUUUUACCCGGGAUGAUAAUGACAGUACCGGGAGAAUAAGCUCCGGCUAACUCCGUG
This 433-nucleotide ribosomal RNA is filed under the name uncultured bacterium. RNAcentral's name for it is "partial 16S ribosomal RNA". It matches the Rfam family "Bacterial small subunit ribosomal RNA", at positions 29 to 507 of the family's 1533-position model. The record is from RNAcentral.